Molecule: long non-coding RNA, 870 nt
Filed under: Homo sapiens (human)
Lineage: Eukaryota; Metazoa; Chordata; Mammalia; Primates; Hominidae
Description: HSALNT0078818
Source: RNAcentral
AUGCCCUGGAAUACACUUGUGUCAGUGACAAAUGCUGCUUUGCUGUGCUACACCGAGUACAAGGUCGUGUCCAGUGAUUCAAGUUUGACACACCACACCACGGUGGAUGUGCCUUUCAUGACGCAUCUUCUCAGCAGCACUAGAAGAUACAUCCAAAGUCCUGUGAGCAAGGUCUGUGGUAUCUGUUUAUUAUGGCAGCCCAGUGAGACUAAGACAGGCCAUCAAAAGACGUGAACGUUUUGGACCUUCUCUUGGGCCCUAGUAAACAGAAAUCAGGCUACUUAUUAAACUAAACCACGUUCUGAACUGUUACUGCUACUGGAAACCAGUCCCGAUCCAGACCCCAAAAGAGGAUUCUUGGAUCUUGCACAAGAAAGAAAGGCUACUCCUCACAGUAAAAGAGCACUUGGUGGAAAUUUUGUUCUGAAGUGAAGGCUGAAACCCCAGAGAUCAAACACUGUACUCAAGUUUACAAAGCUGGACUCAGACCCUAACACUGGCUUUAAAAUUUGUCCUAAGUUAGACCAUAAUGCCUCUCUUUCCAGCUGGAUCUACAUGCCUCCACUCUGGCUUUUAACAAGGCUCUGAACUAUUGUCAGAACUUGGGAAUUUCUAACAUUGAAGGUAACACAUUGACACAAUUUCCUCGAUGUAAAAUUGUAUACACUUUAUCCAAGUCCCAUCUGAGCAUGUUAUGUCCUAUUUGUACCCUUACAAAAACUGAUUGGUGGCCAAAUUGAUUUGAGACUGAAAGUUGCCACUUAUGUUCUUAGAAAUACUUGCUUUAAUUCACCAGAAUCAGUUGCUCUGAUACAACUUCUUAUAGUCACCUAAGUCAACAUAGUAAGAAAAUAAACAUAUAAAUGCCCU